CCUUUAUGUCAAACACACACAAUAACUAAAACUUUCAACAACGGAUCUCUUGGUUCUCGCAUCGAUGAAGAACGCAGCGAAUUGCGAUACGUAGUAUGACUUGCAGACGUGAAUCAUCGAAUCUUUGAACGCACAUUGCGCCUUGAGGCAUUCCUCAAGGCAUGCCUGUUUGGGCGUCGGCCCUUCUCAAGCCCCCCGGCUUGGUCUUUGCAAGAAAUCUCAACGCCCUUUGUCUAAGCACCAAAGGCCCCCAUUUCUUCCCCAAAUCAGGUAGGACUACCCGCUGAACUUAAGCAUAUCAAUAAGCGGAGGAAAAGAAACCAACAGGGAUUGCCUCAGUAACGGCGAGUGAAGCGGCAAAAGCUCAAAUUUGAAAUCCCUCGGGAGUUGUAAUUUGAAGGAGGUAGGCUACGCGCGGCAACGGCCCAAGUCCAUUGGAACAUGGCGCCAGGGAGGGUGAGAGCCCCGUCCGGCCACGCGCCGCGUCCGCAGUCUGCCCCCGACGAGUCGAGUUGUUUGGGAAUGCAGCUCAAAGUGGGUGGUAAAUUCCAUCUAAAGCUAAAUAUUGG
Molecule: ribosomal RNA, 569 nt
Filed under: Danielia oregonensis
Lineage: Eukaryota; Fungi; Ascomycota; Pichiomycetes; Serinales; Metschnikowiaceae
Description: eukaryotic LSU rRNA
Rfam family: Eukaryotic large subunit ribosomal RNA (bases 257-569)
Source: RNAcentral